This 372-nucleotide long non-coding RNA is filed under the name Zostera marina. RNAcentral describes it as "long non-coding RNA (ZMAR_LNC004923)". Lineage: Eukaryota; Viridiplantae; Streptophyta; Magnoliopsida; Alismatales; Zosteraceae. The record is from RNAcentral.
CGUGGCUAAAAUUUCCGGCAAAAUUUUCCUCCAAUUUUCCACUGAAAUUUAGCCACGGAUUUGGCCACGGAUUUAGGAGCCGUGGCUAAUUUAUUUGUCACUAAAUUAGCCACUGAUAUUAGCCACGGCAUUUAGCCCUGGCUAAUAAUGAUAAUAGGGUUAGGGUUAAUGUAAAUGUAAAUAAUUAGGGUUAGGGUUAAUGUAAAUGUAAAUAAUUAGGGUUAGGGUUAGGGUGAGGGUUAGGAUUAGGAUUAGGAUUAAUAGAAAUUAACAAAAAUUAGUAAAAAUAAGUAUAUAUACAUAUUUAGAUAGUGAUAGGGUUAGAAAUUAGGGUUAAAAGUAAGAGUUAGAAGUAGAAGUUAGGGUUAGAAG